Molecule: long non-coding RNA, 2642 nt
Organism: Hypanus sabinus (Atlantic stingray)
Lineage: Eukaryota; Metazoa; Chordata; Chondrichthyes; Myliobatiformes; Dasyatidae
Exons: 2
Source: RefSeq, a predicted model, not a curated record
UUUAUUAUUUUUAUAACUGUAUUACAAAAUUUUGAACCAAUUUUCUUUACACUGGACUAUUUUCUCAUUAUAAUUGAGGGUUCCUUCCGGCGCUUUCGGUAUGGGUGAUACAUCCUUAGGACAAUUAUUUGAUCUGAUUGCACAGGUUUGAGUCAAAUGGUUAUAUUUAGCCGCUGAACAUGGAAGUGCCUUUCUGGUCAUUUGGAUGUGUGUCGGUCUUUUCAGGUGAGCAUAUCGUGCCUGGACCAGUCGCCCGCAUGAACACCAACAUGUUUUACCAACAUAAUGCGGCGAACGGUUAAAACAACUUAUUUGAGUAAACAGUAAUCCACCAGUCUGGGUUAAUUUUAUAAGCGUUGCUGUGGUUCCUUCUAUACAUUUCCUCCGGGUUUUUUUUUCUUUUAGUAAAUGACCUUCUAUUAACCUGUUCGUUAUUUGCGUCCAGACAUUGGGGUCGAAAUCGAUGCAUUAAACAAAUAAACCUCGCUCCAUCCAGAUCCCUGCUUUCAGAGAGCAAUAAGAAAAUAAUUUUCGUCUGCCGAGCAAGAAGGCGGCUGGAAAGCAGAAAGACAAAUAUUAUUUUUACUACAUUGUGUGAAAUACGAUUUAGGCGGAUCUGUCAAUGUGUGCAUUUGAAGACUGUUGUGGUAGUGCUCUGAACUCCCAGGGGCCAAAUUGAAAUUGUUCUUUGUCUUCAUAAACUUAUCAUGAGGUACCGUGCCAGCUUUGGACUGUUGACUUUGAAAACGAGAAAGCUAGAAAGUUAUACAGACUGGUUGCUUUGCUUGGAAAUAUUUGUCUUUGACUUUUCCCGCUAUUUGCACUUCAGUCACUAUAUUCAACACGCACUUUAGUCCGUCAAUAUACUUCAUGACUUUUCCCAUGAAUUUUCGCCAACGUCCGAUGUAAUGCUUUCUUGUUUAUCUGCGUUCCCUCUCUUCAGGAACUGAGAUUGGCAGAUAGCUUUAGCUGGAUUUCAGCGAGAUUCGGAUUUCCACAGUUGCACGGAGUCCUUCGCGCAGACCAGUGCACAACUGAUUCUACUUGAUGCAUGCAGAGACGCGGGUGGUCUCGAAACAGGGUAGCACGUUGGCCGGGAAAGCCAAGAAUGGAAGAUCAGUUUGCAUAGCGCCGGUAAUAAGGAGUUUCAGAAUAACUGGAACCUGUUAAAAUGUGUACAUUUUUGCGUUAUACCUCACCCUCUUCGCUAUAAUCUGAAAACAAACGAAGCUAAAAACAAAUACCUGCAUUUUCCAACAGAUACUUGAUCCGGUAUAUUUACAGUUUUGUAUGGAUCGUACCUAUGCCUGUCAUUCACCAGUCAUGAACGAUAGCGUCCAUCACCUUCUGUACACAUACGUUAAAAUACAGAUAAUAUUUUGAUAGACUUGACAUAUUUCUGUGCUUAUGUGUGUUGGUAAGGCUUUUCGAUUUCUUUUUUCGUUCUAACUACUUGUAGGUACCGUGCCAAUGCAUAUUUUUCUAAUAUGUGUUUUAUUACUAUGUAUAAUAUUUAUCAAACGAAUAUGAUUAUGUUUACAUAUGUAACAUUGUACUAGCCUAUGUUAUUUCUGUAAGUAGUAUGUGUACGUGUGCGUGUGAAUAUAUUUUCUUUAUUAUUUAAUAUUUUAUAUCUCUCUUUAAAGAUCUGUUUAUUUUGUCUACUGCUGAGUUGCCACCCGGGCCUUAGGUUGCUGCCGUUGUUCCAUACUCAGGACUCGGGGCUCAACUGGAUAAAGAAGUUUAACAAAUGCAAAUCCUAUUUGUUUUUCCAAAAAACUGAAACAAAAAUGGAAAGAGCUGUUGGUAAUAACGGUUAACACAUGAUUUAUCGAUUUAGGUUUAGAUUAUAGGUUUCAGGAUUUAUGUUUACUUUACGGCUUUAUGAACUUUUCUGCUGGGACCACACAAGUGAAAUUCGCAGCCAGCGCUAAUGGGAAAAAAUCUGCUUUCCCCUGUGACAUGGGCAGUGUGAAAAAGGAUACUUUAUUGUGCCUAACGGAGAUCAUUUCGCCUCUCUGGGAAUUACAAACCUUCCUAGUAAGCCAUUUACAGCAGUAAGGGAAUGGGGAAAAUCAUUCCCCUGGUGUAAAGUUGCAACUCGAAGUAAUUUGUGAAUUAUGUCAUUUCCAGACUCCAGUAUUUUCAGUAAAGACCAAGUCGGCAAAGAAAAUGUGAUUUUCCUUCAAUGUCAGAUGACUUACUGGAAACAAAAUUAGGCACUUAUCCCCAGACAUUAGUAUAAAAUACCAGCCACCAACUCUGAUCAGUUUUUACUUGUAAUGGCUGGGUGGAGGUGUUAAAGAAAUCAUAUCAAAUCAAAUUCAUAAUUCGCAAUAAUGCCAUUUAUGACGGAGUCUAAUUCCGGCCCGACUUAGUUUAUUUCUCUAUAGAUGACUUCCGCAGUUGUAUCUAAAUCCUGAAGCUUCACAAAUCCGCGAAGUGCUUCAGCUAUAUGACAAAAUGGAGCCUCCCUGCAAGGAAGCACUAAAUUGGCACUCCUGCCUCUAUAGGAAAACAGAACAAAUUUGCACUUCCCUUUAGUCCCGAAUUGCUUAGUAGCUGUUGUAACUCAGCUGAAUGAAGCGGACCCCCAUAGUUUAGCUUCUUGUUUAAUUUCCACCCUCCCCACCCCCGCCCCC